CCUACGGGAGGCAGCAGUGGGGAAUAUUGCACAAUGGGCGAAAGCCUGAUGCAGCGACGCCGCGUGAGGGAUGACGGCCUUCGGGUUGUAAACCUCUUUCAGUAGGGAAGAAGCGAAAGUGACGGUACCUGCAGAAGAAGCGCCGGCUAACUACGUGCCAGCAGCCGCGGUAAUACGUAGGGCGCAAGCGUUGUCCGGAAUUAUUGGGCGUAAAGAGCUCGUAGGUGGCUUGUCGCGUCUGCCGUGAAAACCCGAGGCUCAACCUCGGGCGUGCGGUGGGUACGGGCAGGCUAGAGUGUGGUAGGGGAGACUGGAACUCCUGGUGUAGCGGUGAAAUGCGCAGAUAUCAGGAAGAACACCGAUGGCGAAGGCAGGUCUCUGGGCCAUUACUGACACUGAGGAGCGAAAGCAUGGGUAGCGAACAGGAUUAGA
RNAcentral lists this ribosomal RNA (432 nucleotides) under uncultured bacterium. RNAcentral describes it as "bacterial SSU rRNA". It matches the Rfam family "Bacterial small subunit ribosomal RNA", at positions 338 to 782 of the family's 1533-position model. The record is from RNAcentral.